This 510-nucleotide ribosomal RNA is filed under the name uncultured bacterium. RNAcentral describes it as "partial 16S ribosomal RNA". It matches the Rfam family "Bacterial small subunit ribosomal RNA", at positions 28 to 507 of the family's 1533-position model. The record is from RNAcentral.
GACGAACGCUGGCGGCGUGCUUAACACAUGCAAGUCGAACGAAGAGCGAUGGAAGCUUGCUUCUAUCAAUCUUAGUGGCGAACGGGUGAGUAACGCGUAAUCAACCUGCCCUUCAGAGGGGGACAACAGUUGGAAACGACUGCUAAUACCGCAUACGAUCUAAACUCGGCAUCGAGGAUAGAUGAAAGGUGGCCUCUACAUGUAAGCUAUCACUGAAGGAGGGGAGUGCGUCUGAUUAGCUAGCUGGAGGGGUAACGGCCCACCCAGGCGAUGAUCAGUAGCCGGUCUGAGAGGAUGGACGGCCACCUUGGGACUGAGACACGGCCCAGACUCCUACGGGAGGCAGCAGUGGGGAAUCUUCCGCAAUGGACGGAAGUCUGACGGAGCAACGCCGCGUGAGUGAUGACGGCCUUCGGGUUGUAAAGCUCUGUUAAUCGGGACGAAAGGCCUUCUUGCGAAUAGUGAGAAGGAUUGACGGUACCGGAAUAGAAAGCCACGGCUAACUACGUG